RNAcentral lists this long non-coding RNA (288 nucleotides) under Mytilus galloprovincialis (Mediterranean mussel). The record is from RNAcentral. Lineage: Eukaryota; Metazoa; Mollusca; Bivalvia; Mytilida; Mytilidae.
CUUCUGGAGUUUCGUAAACAACAACGUUAAACGAUAUAUACUACUUCAUAACGUGUGACCUCACGUGUGUGGUAAAAUUUGUUGAUUGAUGCACGUGGCUAGUCUAGUAAAUGAAUUUAUCUACAAAGCGAGAGCACUUUCCAUUUUCAUCAGCUAAGAGUCGACUAGCCCUUUUUGAAAGGCUAAUGCUUGUAGUCAUGAAUAUUUAUCGCUUAUAUUAAAUUGAUAAAGAUUUUAUCGAGGUCGCACCAACUGUUUCUACAGCUAAGAUAAGUUACAUGUAACAUG